UACGAAGGGUGCAAGCGUUACUCGGAAUUACUGGGCGUAAAGCGUGCGUAGGUGGUUCGUUAAGUCUGUCGUGAAAGCCCCGGGCUCAACCUGGGAAUGGCGAUGGAUACUGGCGAGCUAGAGUGCGGUAGAGGAGAGUGGAAUUCCCGGUGUAGCAGUGAAAUGCGUAGAGAUCGGGAGGAACAUCAGUUGCGAAGGCGGCUCUCUGGACCAGCACUGACACUGAGGCACGAAAGCGUGGGGAGCAAACGGG
RNAcentral lists this ribosomal RNA (253 nucleotides) under uncultured bacterium. RNAcentral describes it as "partial 16S ribosomal RNA". It matches the Rfam family "Bacterial small subunit ribosomal RNA", at positions 524 to 776 of the family's 1533-position model. The record is from RNAcentral.